CUUUAUUUGUAUAGUAUUCUCCAGAGAAACAACCGUUUCUUUCAGAUCCGACACCUAUUAAUUAAAGUCUUGUUAGUUAAUUAUCAAUGUAUAGGAUCAUUUUUGGUAACCGUACCUGUUGACGUUCUGUCUAGUUGUAGAUGGUUUCAAGAUUCUUCUUACAGAAUAAAUUAAUGUAUCAUCCACACGCUGGAAAUCAUCGAAUUAUUUUUCUUUUUCUUUAAGUUACUUUACCGAGAACUGUACAAACGAGCAAAUUCUUUUGAACACAUAAUGACCAAAAAUAAUUUUCAUGAAAUUAUUAACCAUGUUUAAAUUGUAUCGACAAUUGAAGAACGUUUUGAAUGUCACAAAAUUGCUUAACCUACUUUGACAAUAAAGUUGACCAGAAAUAUGGAUAAGGUGCUGAAUAAAAAUUACAUCAUACGAUACUGAUUAAAAGUUGUGAAAUUUUUUAUUGUAUCGUAUAUGUACAAAAUAGGUGUACAGACUACUUAUCAAUCGCAUGGGCGCGUUUUGUACACGCUUUGUAUAUGCAUUGACCGCAUAUAACACUGAUGUAAGAGCAUCACGUUGUGUAGUACACCUGUAACCCCCCCCUCUUCCUAUUAUCUUUCAUCAAAUGGAAUGAAUGUCGUGAUGACGCUUAAAUGUUUCUUUUAAUUCAGAUCUCAUUAUCAUUUUUUUCCUCUUUACAAUCAUUAAUAACAUUCUAGUAAUAAGGGUUUCUUGUGACUAUUACCCCUUUCCCCAUCUUGUACACACGAAAAUAAUAAAUUACACUGGAACGUUAUCUUUGCAUUUUGUUUAAAGAGCGUAGUAGUUCGUUUUUCUGAAUCGCGUUUACAUGACUACGGUAGAAUAGUGUAGCUUCAAUUCACUGGAAGUGUCGAUGUGUGAACACGGCAUCGGAGAAGACAAAAAAGGAAAUGAUACAAAUACACCUCACUGUAGGUCCGUCCGUGCUUUCCACUUAUUUUAUUAACAACAACUGGGCCAAAUGUUUAUGUUCACUUUCACACGUAGAAAACGGUAUUCUUGCACUGCCUCGCAAACUCCUUACUAAUUUUGAUCACAUUUUUUAUUUUUUUUUU
Molecule: long non-coding RNA, 1094 nt
Organism: Osmia lignaria (orchard mason bee)
Lineage: Eukaryota; Metazoa; Arthropoda; Insecta; Hymenoptera; Megachilidae
Source: RefSeq, a predicted model, not a curated record